RNAcentral lists this ribosomal RNA (253 nucleotides) under uncultured bacterium. RNAcentral describes it as "partial 16S ribosomal RNA". It matches the Rfam family "Bacterial small subunit ribosomal RNA", at positions 524 to 776 of the family's 1533-position model. The record is from RNAcentral.
GACGUAGGGCGCGAGCGUUGUCCGGAUUUAUUGGGCGUAAAGAGCGUGUAGGCGGCCAUUCAGGUCAGCUGUGAAAACUCGAGGCUCAACCUCGAGACGUCGGUUGAAACCGUUUGGCUAGAGUCCGGAAGAGGAGAGUGGAAUUCCCGGUGUAGCGGUGAAAUGCGUAGAGAUCGGGAGGAACACCAGUGGCGAAGGCGACUACCUGGACCAGCACUGACACUGAGGCACGAAAGCCAGGGUAGCGAAUGGG